This 409-nucleotide ribosomal RNA is filed under the name Melanoides tuberculata. Its description in RNAcentral is "partial large subunit ribosomal RNA". The stretch from base 221 to 409 matches the Rfam family "Bacterial large subunit ribosomal RNA", at positions 2086 to 2620 of the family's 2925-position model. The record is from RNAcentral. Lineage: Eukaryota; Metazoa; Mollusca; Gastropoda; Thiaridae.
CCCGGCCCCGUCCUUUUAAAAAAAAAAUGAUCUUCUUUAUUUUAUAACAACCGCGGGGGGUUAAGAGACAUAAAUAUAUUUAGAUAAGAAGAGCCUGCGGAGGUUUUAAAAUAAAAAUAGGUUUUAAUUAUUAACGAAAUCAAUAAACUAUUUCACAUUUUUAGUUGGGGCGACUAAUGAACAAACAAAGCUUCUUUUAUUUUUAUAAAUUUAUAGAUUUAGAUCCAGCAGAGCUAAUUAAAGAAAUUAGUUACCGCAGGGAUAACAGCAUAAUCUCCUUUGAGAGACCUAAUCGAAAAGGGGGGUUGUGACCUCGAUGUUGGACUAGAAUAUCCUGAAGAUGCAGACGUCUUCGAGGGGUUGGUCUGUUCGACCAUUAAAAUUCUACGUGAUCUGAGUUCAGACCGGG